RNAcentral lists this ribosomal RNA (253 nucleotides) under uncultured bacterium. Its description in RNAcentral is "partial 16S ribosomal RNA". It matches the Rfam family "Bacterial small subunit ribosomal RNA", at positions 524 to 776 of the family's 1533-position model. The record is from RNAcentral.
CACGUAGGGUGCGAGCGUUGUCCGGAAUUAUUGGGCGUAAAGGGCGCGUAGGCGGCCGUUUGCGUCGGAUGUGAAAGCCCGGGGCUCAACCUCGGAACGGCAUUCGAUACGGGACGGCUGGAGACCGGGAGAGGAGAGUGGAAUAGCCAGUGUAGAGGUGAAAUUCGUAGAUAUUGGCUGGAACACCGGUGGCGAAAGCGGCUCUCUGGCCCGGUUCUGACGCUGAGGAGCGAAAGCGUGGGGAGCGAACAGG